This 142-nucleotide unclassified non-coding RNA is filed under the name uncultured Geoglossum. RNAcentral's name for it is "sequence contains ITS1". The record is from RNAcentral. Lineage: Eukaryota; Fungi; Ascomycota; Geoglossomycetes; Geoglossales; Geoglossaceae.
CCGAGUUAGGGUCUUUAAUGGCCUGACCUCCAACCCCUUGUAUACCACUCGUUUUAUUGUUGCUUCGGUGGGCUGAAAAUGCCUGCCGAGGCCCAACAAAAACCUUAGUAAUGAUGUUGUCUGAGUUAUAAAGUAAUAAUUA